RNAcentral lists this unclassified non-coding RNA (271 nucleotides) under Hevea brasiliensis (rubber tree). The record is from RNAcentral. Lineage: Eukaryota; Viridiplantae; Streptophyta; Magnoliopsida; Malpighiales; Euphorbiaceae.
GAUAUUUUGCUACAUCAAAAAGGUAAUAUGAUGAAUUACUUCUUAUUGAUAAUGCUGACAAAUAAUGGCAAGUUGAUGAAAACCAGUUUUGGGAUACGAGAUACUGUUAUGCUGUAGAGGUUUGCUCUGGUUGAACUCCAUAAAUCAAACCUACGAUGAUGAUAUCUUGGUUAUAUAUGGUUUUCAAUAUGGAUAUUGGCAUUGCCAACCAAAAUCAUAAAGUUAGGAGUUGUCUAAUAAAUGUACUUAAUAGGUAGUAGCAAUACCAAGU